Molecule: non-coding RNA, 5339 nt
Organism: Sus scrofa (pig)
Lineage: Eukaryota; Metazoa; Chordata; Mammalia; Artiodactyla; Suidae
Source: RefSeq, a predicted model, not a curated record
CCGCCCCCACCCUCAGGCAGAAUGAGGCCCAUAAGCCUGCAAAUCGUCAUCGAUGGCCACUGACUGACUGCGAAUAUCUGAAGAUUCACAUCCGCUAAAAUGUCCUUGCCUGUUUACCGCGUCAAUCUUGCAUGCCGACGCUAGGUGGCAGCAAAGCGCCGAUUCACGAACCGCCCCUCACUGCGUCCUGGCUGACUUCUGACGCAGAACUUAAAAAAAGUGAUACUGCAGAUUUUCCUUUUAGAGAAAGAGCUACCCAUGCAAAACUAGCAGUUUUAAAGAGGACUAUGGCGAUAACUGGAACGUCAGGAUGAAAACUGCUUUCUGAAUACGGCCUUUGGGUGGAAGUACCAGCUUAAGACCCUUGUCUUAUGGAAAUGAGCUGUUUAUUCUUGGUGGAAGAUGUCCUUGAAGAGACCUGGAAUGGUAAGAUGAUUAGUGAUAAUGGGUCUUGGGUGAUGCAAAGAAGAUGGAAACUAGAGUAUCCGAAGAUCUGCCAAGUGAACUGUACAUAAGAGGAAAAAAUAGCUCUGGGAAACACAGUGUAAAUCAAUGAGAAAACUGGAUUCAAGGCACAAAGUGCAGUUUGUACAUAACCUCUCCAGGAUGUUGCAGUCAUUCCAACAAUAUUCACAUUAGCCCGAAGAACAUCUAUUGCAAAGGCUGUACACUGAGGACAGAGCCCAUGUCUUCGACAUUUUAGUAUAGUGCUUUGCACAUGGAAUGAAGAGGGAACUAAGACCUCUAUGUGGUCUGGAUAAGACUACCUCACCCUCCAGUAACCACACUGUCAAUGGGAAAAAGGGGACCCAGAACCCUGUGUGCUCCUGGUAAGACUCCACUCCUCCCCCCAAAUAUAAGCUUCACCACAAGUACCCAGCCAACUGGCCUGACUGCAUUUGGCCCCUGAUCCCAUUUGACAGGAGUUACCACAAGAAUUCAUGGCUUUCAGGCCCUUCCUCAGUCUUGGACUCUAAUCCCCUUAAGGAUCUCUGCAGGGUGUGGCAACCUCCUUCCCCGCCUUAUUGCUUUCCAGUAGCAUUUAGAGCAUCUGCCAUUUAUACAAUGCAUAUAUGCUAAUGUCAGCUCCACACAGGCAGGGUUUUUUUGUCUGUUUUAUUCACUCGUGUAUCCUCAUGGUACAGGACACUGACAAAACCGUGGUUAAUAAAUAUUUGUUGCACGGUCAAACACUGUUCAGUGGAAAGGACGAGGACUGAUCUGAGCAGGCACAAACAUGAGGUGUGGGCUACAGGAUGUCCAAGAGCUUCCACAAGCAGGCCAGGAGACCAAGCAUUUCCUUCUGCCUUGCCAACUCUUUCCUUGGAUCCCAAAGACCCUGUGGAGCUCUUAUCAAAAGAAUGGUUUAAACGACAAAUUCCAUGUGGCCCCUAGUGUUCCGUAGUACAUGGCAUUUGCCUACAGGCUUUUCAGCAGGGGGGUUUGCUACCUACAAUAGGGUUGGCGGAGGUGAUUGCACAAUCUAAUUUUGGGAGUGCCUUGGCAUGUUGCUCUUUUCUCCACUCAAAGAGGGCUUUGGAGUAUGGGUUUUUGUAUCAUCUUUUUCACAUUCUAAUAAUUUGUAGGAGUUCCCAGUGAUCACCUUAAUAGUGGCUUAGUUUAUAAAGCCUACAUAAUGUGCAUAUGGCUGCUGCCCUCCCACCCUUUGGCUGGGUAUUUGUGAUGGCACCUACCUCCAAGGCUGCAGGGAAAUUAUCAGCUAUGGGAGUAGAGAGUCUGUCCAAGAGAUUUUUAAACUGUCCCUUCCCUCUUAAGUUUAACUGCUUUUUGGACUGUGAGCACCUUGAAGGCAGGGCUGGGUCUUAUCCAUCUUUGUAGCCCCCCAAACAAAGUUCAGUUCCACCCCUCACCCCCACCCCAUUAGAGGUAUGAUUGGUCUACAUUGAAUGGUGAACUUGGCUGAUACUGGCCUGGUGAUAACAGUUUUAAUAGGGAAUGUCAAAUUUUGGCAGAAAGCUGUGCCUUACAGAGUCCUCUGCCUGUGAGCAACUUCCUUUUGCUCCUGGAUUGGUUCCAUCCCCUUUGUGUCUUGUCUAGUGCACUGCACUUGAGGGUCAUUAAGUCAGAGCAGUUGGGUAGAUCUCUACAGAAUGUUUUUUAUUUCAUGUUUACUGAGAGCAGGUAGGGAGAGUGCUGCUUAAAAGGGCAUGUCUAUUUUAUUUCAGCAUCUGCACAUACAAAUGGAGACUAGAUCACAGUUGAAUGGAGAUUCCCUCUUUGCCUUUUUCUCAUCUAAACAGGCUUUUUCAUCUACUUUCUCUUUUUUUUAAAUAAACAGACAGACCUGCAAGUGAAAAAGAUGAGUAGAGGUGAAAGAGUUGACUCCUUAUGUGCUCUGAGGGUAACAAGGAUACUAUCACCUUAUGAUGAUUUAAACACUUCUUCCCAGUUUGGGACAUGAUCUUUUCUCCCUCAUGCAACUUGACUAUUUCCCUGCUCAUUAGGGGUGGAUGAUCAAAAAAUUUUGGAGGCAAUGUAAAUUAUCACUAGGAGCAAAUUUCCUUAGCAUAAUGGGAGUCUCUCUGAAUUGUGUAGCAUUCAGAACAAGAGAGAUAUGUUCAUUUACGUAAUUAUUCUGUCGUCAACAUUUAAAAAUCACAGCUCAGGGUUUCCUGUCCCAGAAAUAUUACUGCCUAUUUCCUUGAAGCUCAUGUCAAGACAAGGUGUCAAGACAGAAAUUUUAACAUGUCAUGAAAGGGGUAAAUAAAAUUGCGUUAAGUUGUGAUUUGAAUAUGGAGAGUGACAGAAGAGUUCUUGAGAAACUCUGGGGAAAGCGUUAACAACAUGGUCCAUGAAGGAGAAGGCUCUGAGUGCCUCUAGUAGUGAUGCCAAAAGGCCAGGCUGGAGGUUGCCACACAAGAGCUAUGAGGCCCCCUUUCACCUGCCCUUUCUCCUUCUUUCACUCCAACUAUUGGAAGGCACAUCCUGGCUCCACUUGGGAUAUCUCCAGAAAGGAGAUGUGUGCCUAAGGAAUCAGGACAUCCUGGGCAUUCUUAGCAGACAGAAUGCUGAGUGGGAAUACCAAGAGACAAAGUUUGUCCAAAGGCUGGUUUUUCUCUUACCGCCUCAUUCCAAAACCAUUCCCUUUUGACCAGACCCUGAAAACCAGUGAAAUGCACAGCUUAUCUUUGUUGGAAAAGGGUUGAAGUUUUACCUGUGGGGCAACACUUGGAGAAAAAUGAUCUCUUUGACUAUUUCAAACUUGAUUUCUCCUAAGUAAGGGAGGUGAGUCCUUGUGAUGAAUCUUGAGGCUGGAGGGCUUUUCUUCUUGGCCCAGCCUGGACUCCUUCCAGCAUGUAACCAGGGUUGGUUCUGCUGAUUUGGAGAUCCACAUGCUCUCUACGUCUGGGUUACUCUCUCUUCUGCCCUUUGGAGGAUCCUCAAGUAGGAAGGAAUUGGAGUGGGAAACUACUGGGUGGGGUUUUGACAUAGCAACUAAAGGGAUGUGCCAAAGGAGAGCAGGUCAAGGAGGGCAUUGGUCAAGGAGGGAGGACCUAGUGGGUUAAGGGCCAGUGCCAAGGCCAAGGUCAGUUACUAUACCUGGUUGUGGGCUCCUCAUGGAUGUCCUCCUAUGAAAUGACAUUGUGAGAGUAAGCAAGUCAGUGUUAGGAUCCAAGGAAUUAUGCCUACUUUUCCUGUGUUCUAUUAAUUUGCUAGACCUUCAUCUUUACUUUUGACAUUUUUUUCUCUUUAGUUCCUGAAGAGACUUUAAAGCAAUUCAUUUCCAAAUUUCAUCUCUUGCCCAUCAACAUGAAGCCUGUUUGCUGGAUACAGAUAGUUUGUAGGACAUGCAUUUAUUGCUGACUUCCUUGUCCCUGCAAGGUCACAGGGAUGUCAUUGCCUGAGGAAAUUUGGGAAACACAGCUCUGGUUAGUUGUCUGCUCUUAUCUUUUUUCCCCUCCUAUCUGCUUGGGAGUGUUCAAAUCCUUAUCAGUGUAGAAUGCAGUUAUACUAAGAUUUAUCUAAGUUGCCUUUGUUUAGCAACCGGCUGUUUCACUGGGACUUUAAAUUUAGCUUCUUACUAAUGAAUAUGUAGCCAUUUGGGAGGAGAGGCUGGCUUUGCAGAUACUAAAGCAGCUUGUGUCUAUGCUUAACUCUCUCAUUGCAACACCUUCUACAACCACACUUCUUUUUCACUGGAAGUCUUUGAAGACUUCCCAUAUCCAGGGAACUAUUGAAUGCUACAGAGGGUUCAGAGAAGUAGAAGACACAAUUCCUGCCUUGAAUACAGUUUGGGAAACAAGCCAUUUUUGGAGCAUAAGAAAGUGUGGGCUUUGCUGUUUGAAAAACUUCAGCCUCAAUUUUAUAAUCUGUAAAGUGGAGAUAAUAAUCUUAACCCUGCAGGGUGGUUUUGAGAUACAGAAAUACUACAUGUAAAGAUUUGACCUCUAGGGAACAUUGUUAUUAUUAUUUUAAAUUGUGAUAUUACUACAGGGUCUGUGAAGUGCAGACUGACAGCACAAAUGAAAAUCAGAGGCAGAGAGGGGCUGAAGGCCAUCAGGAAAGAGUCCAUAGAUGAAGAGGAUUGUUGUUGUUGCUGUUUUUGUUGCUAAGAGGAAGAAGGCCAUGUGUGUCUUCACUUAUUUCUCUGUCUCAUUCAAGAGUGACUUGCCUCCUUUCUGAAAUCUUUGCUAUUGUUGCUAAUGGAGAGUCAGGAGCCUGCUGCCUCUGAGAAAUGGACCGUGGCCAAGAUUCUAAUGGGGCCCCCAUUGGGGCUCAGGAGAGUGAGUCCACUUGUUCUGUGCAAGAGCAGGAGGGGAGCCACUUAGGUCUUUGUGGGCAUCAGUGAGGAACAGAAGAGAGUCAGAGGAGGAGGCAAAAGGCUUCAGGGAAUUCUGGGCCACUGAAACAGCUGGACAGGGAAGGCAAGGAAGAGGGGAUGAGGGGAUGAGAAAAGAGAGAGUGUGAUCCUGAGAGAGACCUGGCCCUGGCCCAACCAGCUCCACCUUCUCAGUGUUUUUGAGCCAAGUGUCUUGCCUUUUCCUUCGUUUUGCACCCUCAGUCCAGGAAAAUUCUAUUAAGAAGGUCCUGAGGAUUGUUUGUGACAAGCACAAGGCUGCAUUCCUCACCUCUCACCAUUCUUUUUCUUUAUUUUCAUCCCUACAUUCUUUUUUUAAAUCUUUUCAUUUUUUUCAUUGUUAUUUCCCCAAUGCAAUUUUUUUUCCUACUGUACAUCAUGGAGAUCCAGUUCCAUAUACUUGUAUACAUUGUAUUUUCUCCCAUUAUCAUGCUUCACUGUAAGUGACUAGACAUAGUUACCAGUGCUACACAGCAGGAUCUCAUUGCUAAUCCAUUCCAAAGGCAAUAGUCUGCAUCUA